GUGCUCACUUCGGCAACAUAUAUACUAAAAUUGGAACAACACAGAGAAGAUUAGCAUGGCCACUGCACAAGAAUGACAUGCAAAUUCAUGAAGUGUUCCAUUUUUUU
RNAcentral lists this small nuclear RNA (107 nucleotides) under Spermophilus dauricus (Daurian ground squirrel). Lineage: Eukaryota; Metazoa; Chordata; Mammalia; Rodentia; Sciuridae. The record is from RNAcentral.